GGAAGCAGGGCAUCCCGCUUAAGGCGGGAGGGUCACAGGUUCGAAUCCUGUUGCUCCCA
Molecule: transfer RNA, 59 nt
Filed under: Acetobacteroides hydrogenigenes
Lineage: Bacteria; Pseudomonadati; Bacteroidota; Bacteroidia; Bacteroidales; Rikenellaceae
Description: Bacteroidetes bacterium RL-C tRNA
Rfam family: tRNA
About the family: Transfer RNA (tRNA) molecules are approximately 80 nucleotides in length. Their secondary structure includes four short double-helical elements and three loops (D, anti-codon, and T loops).
Source: Rfam by way of RNAcentral